Molecule: ribosomal RNA, 490 nt
Filed under: uncultured bacterium
Lineage: Bacteria
Description: partial 16S ribosomal RNA
Rfam family: Bacterial small subunit ribosomal RNA
Source: RNAcentral
GAUGAACGCUAGCUACAGGCUUAACACAUGCAAGUCGAGGGGCAGCAUGGUCUUAGCUUGCUAAGGCCGAUGGCGACCGGCGCACGGGUGAGUAACACGUAUCCAACCUGCCGUCUACUCUUGGACAGCCUUCUGAAAGGAAGAUUAAUACAAGAUGGCAUCAUGAGUCCGCAUGUUCACAUGAUUAAAGGUAUUCCGGUAGACGAUGGGGAUGCGUUCCAUUAGAUAGUAGGCGGGGUAACGGCCCACCUAGUCUUCGAUGGAUAGGGGUUCUGAGAGGAAGGUCCCCCACAUUGGAACUGAGACACGGUCCAAACUCCUACGGGAGGCAGCAGUGAGGAAUAUUGGUCAAUGGGCGCAGGCCUGAACCAGCCAAGUAGCGUGAAGGAGGACUGCCCUAUGGGUUGUAAACUUCUUUUAGAAAGGAAUAAAGUCGGGUAUGUAUACCCGUUUGCAUGUACUUUAUGAAUAAGGAUCGGCUAACUCCGUG